This 253-nucleotide ribosomal RNA is filed under the name uncultured bacterium. RNAcentral describes it as "partial 16S ribosomal RNA". It matches the Rfam family "Bacterial small subunit ribosomal RNA", at positions 524 to 776 of the family's 1533-position model. The record is from RNAcentral.
UACGGAGGGUGCAAGCGUUGUUCGGAUUUAUUGGGCGUAAAGCGCGUGUAGGCGGUUUCUUAAGUCUGAUGUGAAAGCCCUGGGCUCAACCCAGGAAGUGCAUUGGAUACUGGGAGACUUGAAUACGGGAGAGGGUAGUGGAAUUCCUAGUGUAGGAGUGAAAUCCGUAGAUAUUAGGAGGAACACCGGUGGCGAAGGCGGUUAUCUGGCCCAACAUUGACACUGAGACCCGAAAGCGUGGGGAUCAAACAGG